GUAGGUGAACCUGCGGAAGGAUCAUUCACAAAAAUCCGUUCAAGGGAAUCUCGAGUAGUCGUUGAACCAUGCACACAUUUAUUUGUGUCUGCUAAACGACUCUCAAGGAUGAACUUUUACGACCACUUAAUUGUGGACCUAUGUGCAAAGUAAAUAACAAUUUACUCAAUUUUAUAUCUUGACUGAAACUUUUUCAUAUUUUUGAUUGAACUUUAGAAACAAAUGUAUGUUUGUUUUCAAUUAGUAAAUCAGAUUUGAAUUUUUAUACAACUUUUAACAAUGGAUCUCUUGGCUCUC
RNAcentral lists this unclassified non-coding RNA (297 nucleotides) under rhizosphere metagenome. RNAcentral's name for it is "partial ribosomal RNA internal transcribed spacer region". The record is from RNAcentral.